RNAcentral lists this long non-coding RNA (1022 nucleotides) under Oryctolagus cuniculus (rabbit). RNAcentral describes it as "lncRNA (ENSOCUG00000036426.1)". Lineage: Eukaryota; Metazoa; Chordata; Mammalia; Lagomorpha; Leporidae. The record is from RNAcentral.
CUGUGGCUGUAGGAUUAAGAACCCCACUGCCUUUUUGAUUGUCACCUGUAAGCAAUAUGAACUUAUCCAUAGCAGUUCAUAACAGCAUAAUUCAGGUUAGUAGGAAAGAAAGAGUAAGGUCUGCUAGCAACACAGAAUAAAUAACCAUUCAAGUAACAUCUUACCACCUUUGUCAUAUUCUUCCUAUCAGAGGAAAGUCAUAGUUGCAUCCACACUCAAGGGAAGAUGAUUUUACAAGAGCGUGAACACCUGAGGAGGGAACUCAUUGGGCUCCCUUAAAAAUUUCCGCCACAGAGGAGGCAUGGUUUAACAUUCACAGAGUCCUCAAUCUUGGAAAACAAGCAAUCAACAUGGUUUCAUCCAUCACAGCCCAUCUGAUCAUCCCAUCCAUUUCACAACGAUUCUCAGAGGUGCCUGGCGAACCAUGAUGCCUGCCAGCUCUUCAGAUAAAGAGGAUCCACUUAUUAAUCUGCUCUGUCUCCAUCUGCCUGCUCAAUUGGGAUUGACUGCUUGCUGUCCAGACUGAUACCAGGGAAAUCUGAUUGAGGACAAGAAUCUCUUUGUACAUUUCUCCCACUGAUAUGGCACAACAGGUCUGUUGCAGCCAGGGAGUUAAGCUGAUGUGACAUGAUGUCAGAUGGCCUGCCAUUGUACGUCAGAAAUUAAAAAGAAAAUAUUCUUUCAAACUGAAAUUCCUUAUGUGAUUUUUAUUUCCUUGGGCUUUGAGCAGAUUGAGUAUUGAAUUGCUUGACUGGAGCCCAUGGAUAAUUUAAUACCUGCAACAUUCGUCCCCGGGUGAAUUUCAGCCACAUUUGACUUGUUCAGCAUGGUGUCUCAGUUCUAACCAUUUCAUGGAAAUCUUGUAAAUAUUGAUUGAUGAAAUCCCAAAGAAAUACUUUUUAAACUGUGAUUCUGAAAUGCUCCGUAAAGAAAGACCUGGUUUUGUAUCCAUCUACCUCACUCCACAUCUUAUUGUGUAAGAAGUAAAUAAAAAUUGUGGACAUUCUCUUAUCCUUCUCUAA